CGGGAAGAAUAAGUAAGAGCUAACAUCUCUUACGAUGACGGUACUGUUUGUAAGCUCCGGCUAACUCCGUGCCAGCAGCCGCGGUAAUACGGGGGGAGCAAGCGUUGUUCGGAUUUACUGGGCGUAAAGGGCGCGUAGGCGGCCACCGCAAGUCGACUGUGAAAUCUCCGGGCUUAACCCGGAAAGGUCAGCCGAUACUGCGGGGCUAGAGUGCAGAAGGGGCAACUGGAAUUCUCGGUGUAGCGGUGAAAUGCGUAGAUAUCGAGAGGAACACCUGCGGCGAAGGCGGGUUGCUGGGCUGACACUGACGCUGAGGCGCGAAAGCUAGGGGAGCGAACGGGAUUAGAUACCCCGGUAGUCCUAGCCUUAAACGAUGAAUGCUUGGUGUCUGGGGUUUUAUAGUCCCCGGGUGCCGUCGCUAACGCUUUAAGCAUUCCGCCUGGGGAGUACGGUCGCAAGACUGAAACUCAAAGGAAUUGACGGGGACCCGCACAAGCGGUGGAGCAUGUGGUUUAAUUCGACGCAACGCGAAGAACCUUACCUGGGCUAGAAUGCCUCUGACCGGCGUAGAGAUACGCCUUCCUGGGUAAACCAGGCAGAGUGCAAGGUGCUGCAUGGCU
This 620-nucleotide ribosomal RNA is filed under the name uncultured Acidobacteriota bacterium. RNAcentral's name for it is "bacterial SSU rRNA". It matches the Rfam family "Bacterial small subunit ribosomal RNA", at positions 441 to 1050 of the family's 1533-position model. Lineage: Bacteria; Pseudomonadati; Acidobacteriota. The record is from RNAcentral.